This 197-nucleotide unclassified non-coding RNA is filed under the name uncultured fungus. RNAcentral's name for it is "sequence contains ITS1". The record is from RNAcentral. Lineage: Eukaryota; Fungi.
UAUUUGAUUGCGUUUUAAGGCAACAUGAACAUUCUAUGACACAUUCAGAGUAUAUGAUACAUAAGCCCGAAGGCCUACGGUGGGUUCACAGGUGUGUUGUGGAUUUAAGAGCUCGGGCGUGCACAUGCCCCGAGAGGCCAGCGACAACCCUCGCCUACGAUUCGAUAAUGAUCCUUCCGCAGGUUCACCUACGGAAA